Molecule: ribosomal RNA, 200 nt
Filed under: uncultured bacterium
Lineage: Bacteria
Description: partial 16S ribosomal RNA
Rfam family: Bacterial small subunit ribosomal RNA
Source: RNAcentral
GAAGGCUGAAAUUCGCCUUCAUGAAGCUGGAAUUGCUAGUAAUGGCAGGUCAGCAUACUGCCGUGAAUACGUUCCCGGGCCUUGUACACACCGCCCGUCACACCAUGAGAGUUGGAAAUACCCGAAGCCUGUGAGCUAACUUUUAGAGGCAGCAGUCGAAGGUAGAAUCAAUGAUUGGGGUGAAGUCGUAACAAGGUAAC